RNAcentral lists this ribosomal RNA (165 nucleotides) under uncultured bacterium. RNAcentral describes it as "partial 16S rRNA". It matches the Rfam family "Bacterial small subunit ribosomal RNA", at positions 355 to 511 of the family's 1533-position model. The record is from RNAcentral.
UAGGGAAUCUUCCACAAUGGACGCAAGUCUGAUGGAGCAACGCCGCGUGAGUGAAGAAGGUCUUCGGAUCGUAAAGCUCUGUUGUAAGAGAAGAACGUGUGUGAGAGUGGAAAGUUCACACAGUGACGGUAACUUACCAGAAAGGGACGGCUAACUACGUGCUAG